This 420-nucleotide ribosomal RNA is filed under the name Planctomycetota bacterium. RNAcentral's name for it is "bacterial LSU rRNA". It matches the Rfam family "Bacterial large subunit ribosomal RNA", at positions 2498 to 2925 of the family's 2925-position model. The record is from RNAcentral. Lineage: Bacteria; Pseudomonadati; Planctomycetota.
GCUCAUAUCGACGGAGUUGUUUGGCACCUCGAUGUCGGCUCAUCACAUCCUGGGGCUGGAGAAGGUCCCAAGGGUUCGGCUGUUCGCCGAUUAAAGUGAUACGCGAGCUGGGUUUAGACCGUCGUGAGACAGGUCGGUCCCUAUCUGCCGUGGGCGUAGGGUGCUUGAGAAGAUUUGCUCCUAGUACGAGAGGAUUGGAGUGAACGAACCUCUGGUGAGCCAGUUGUCGCGCCAGCGGCAUAGCUGGGUAGCUAUGUUCGGAAAGGAUAAACGCUGAAGGCAUCUAAGCGUGAAGCCUUCUUCAAGAUAAGGCACCCCUAUCAGGCUCCUUGAAGACGACAAGGUGAUAGGCCAGAUGUGGAAGCGUGGUAACAUGCGAAGCUAACUGGUCCUAAUUAGCCGAUCGACUUGACCUUAAAA